UGGGGUGUCGCCAAGCGGUAAGGCACGAGACUUUGACUUUCGCAUUCGCAGGUCCGAAUCCUGCCACCCCAGCCA
RNAcentral lists this transfer RNA (75 nucleotides) under Bacillota bacterium. Its description in RNAcentral is "Firmicutes bacterium (gut metagenome) tRNA-Gln". It matches the Rfam family "tRNA". From Rfam's summary of the family: Transfer RNA (tRNA) molecules are approximately 80 nucleotides in length. Their secondary structure includes four short double-helical elements and three loops (D, anti-codon, and T loops). Further hydrogen bonds mediate the characteristic L-shaped molecular structure. tRNAs have two regions of fundamental functional importance: the anti-codon, which is responsible for specific mRNA codon recognition, and the 3' end, to which the tRNAs corresponding amino acid is attached (by aminoacyl-tRNA synthetases). tRNAs cope with the degeneracy of the genetic code in two manners: having more than one tRNA (with a specific anti-codon) for a particular amino acid; and 'wobble' base-pairing, i.e. permitting non-standard base-pairing at the 3rd anti-codon position. Lineage: Bacteria; Bacillati; Bacillota. The record is from RNAcentral.